Molecule: unclassified non-coding RNA, 18151 nt
Filed under: Leishmania donovani
Lineage: Eukaryota; Euglenozoa; Kinetoplastea; Trypanosomatida; Trypanosomatidae
Description: gene:LdHU3.29.2140(CDS-product:RNA_binding_protei n_putative)
Source: RNAcentral
AAAAUAUUCAUCUUCGUCUUCUUCCAUCUUUCCUGUGCGCCGUUGACGUCGAACACGUCAAACACAUCAAACACACACACACACACGCACACACAUAAAAGGAAAAGAGCAACAACGCCCUCACCCCCUCUCUCCCCCUUCCCCAAAGAAGAAACACGCGCGGUACAUGCAAAGAAAAAGUGCGAAGGAAAGAACGAGAAGAAAAAACAAACAAGAAGACACACCUCACUCCAUUUUUUCUGUCGUUUUGGAGGAUUCUCUUGUUGCUUCUUUCCCCCUCUAGGCGUCUUCCUUCUUUGUUUUGUUGUCGUUGUCACGGGCUUCCUCCUUCCCUCUCUCUGUCUGUCCUCAACACACGCGUUCUCUUUCUCUCUAUCUGGAGUCCUCGGCCACAUCAAGAACAGUAAUCAUACGGACUAUUAUCUGUCUCCUGCGUGCUUCUCUCUCUGUAUAUUUUUUGCUUGUAAUUUUCACCUUUUUCUUAUUUCUUACUGUUCUUCACUGCUUUUCUUUGCGCCCUCUUGAUUUUUAUUUUAUUUUGUGCUCUUCCGUAUUUCGAGACGCUUCUGUAGGAAGUGGUGCAUCGAAACAAAAAAAAGGAGAAAAGCAACAGCCGCAGGAAAGGAAAAAAGAAAAAGGAAACAACGGCAAUCAGGAACGCCGAAGACGAAGGACAGUAAACAUAGCACACUCGCGCAGACUCACGCACGCAAACUCGGAUCUUGUGCUACCGCUCCUUCUCUUUCCUUUUUCUCUGUUUCCCUCUUGCCCAGCCGUUUCGUCGGUGCAAGCUUUUCCGCCCUUUCGUACGGUGCGCAUUUUUUUUUUUCGCUUUUCGCUCCGUCUCUGUGCACGCUUGCAGUCAGGUGUGUAAGAGUUCGAAGGAACGAGAGACUGGCGCACAAGCACAGACACCCCAUUUCUCCGCUCUCGGUUGUUUUCUUUGUUGUUGUUCCUCCUCCUUUUUUUUUUUCGUGCCGGGGUUUCGCUGUCUAUUGUCUGUCGUCUUCUCUUCCUGCGCUUAUUUAUUUCUUCUCCCCCUCUCUCUGUGUGCAUGUGCAUGAGUGUGUGUGCUCUGCUGUGUUCCCGCUACUUUUUCUUGUAUCUCUUCUUCUUUUCCUGUUUUACUGUGUUUUUAUUUUUUUUUUUGCGGCGUACUGCACAAACCUUUAGUAUUUUUUGCCUUCUUUUUUGCUUUUGCGCCUCUCUUCUCAUUUCUGUUUUUCUUUUUCAUUUUCGAACUGUUUUAUCUCCACUUGUCUUCUGCGUGUUUUUCCCCCCUCUCUCUCUCUGAGAGUGUUGUUGUCCUGUUAUAUGGGUAGUACUGCUCUUGUCGUUGUUAGCGCGUUCUGCUUGUGUUGGAGUUUUCAAAACUACAGCGGAUAAGAACACCCUAAACCCUCGCAUUUCUCUCGAGAAGAACGAGAAAGGAGCGAAAAUAAAAAGCUGACUGACAACGCAGGAGAAGUUCAUCUCCACCCCCUAGAAGAAGAAAAAAAAACAAAUAAUAUUCCAAGUGCUUUCGGGCUUCGGCAUCACACUCAGCUCCCCGGACGAGACGUGUCUUAUCCUUGUCGUCGCGCUCUUUGUGCACCCAAACCCUUCCCCCCUCGUGUGCUUUUAUGUGCUUGCUAGGGAACGAAAAAGCAGGUAGGACAGCACAGACGCCUCUUUGCAGCAGCUGCCCUCUUUUUUUCUACUUCCGACGUUUUUCUCUAACAAAGGCUUCUCGCAUAUAUGUGCACACGUAUUUUUAUUCCUGCUUAUAUCCCACUACUUUGAUUGUUGCUUGAUUGCUCUUCUUCUUCCACUCCUUCGUGCCUUCUCCGUUUCCCCCCUCUCCCUCCUCCUCGCUUGUCGAUUUGUGCUUUUCGCUCUCUCCCCCUCCCUCUCUCAAACCGACCCCCCCUGGCUUCUUCCACCCGUGUACUCACCUUUGCAGAGUACGUGCGCGUGUCUUGCUCUGCAUGUGCAUAACCACCCCCUCACUCCCUACUCGAGUGCACACACGUCUGUGUCUCCCCCCAGCCGCGCUUCGCGUGCCACCCAUUCUGCCCUUUUGGCUUGUCUGUGGCUUUUUCUUUUCUUUUCUCCCCUCUCCCUCAUCUCCCUUAUUUCUUGUUUUCUGUGUUGUAUCGUUUUCAGCGCCACCCGUUCGCUGUGCGCAAUUUUCUUUGUGUCUCUGCGCGCCCCUCUUGGACUCCACUCUCUUUCUUUCACUUAGCCUGUUUUAUCAGCUAUUUUUUUUAUAGUUUUCGGGCUUCCUCAUUUCGUGUCUGUACGCAUCUGCACUUUUUUGUUUCUUUGCGCGUGUGUGUGUAUACGCGCGUGCGUGUGUGUGCUUGUCUUCUCCCCUCUUUUUUUUUUCGUCCUCUCGUGCCUUUUUGUUUUUCCCACUCAAACGUAAGAAUUUUUAGAGUGCCUCCUUUUCGUUCCGUCGGACCUUGCGGCUGGCUGUUGUGCUCCCCUUUUUCUUCGACCCUCUCUUACCCCUACGGGGCCCCCCUCCGCUGCCGCUCUAUAUUCUGUGAAUUCCCUUUUUUCUUUUUUUUUGUGAGCGACAGGCACUUUCUCCCUCGCCCCCCUCCCUCGCUCCUCUCCCCCCCCCACACACCGCACAAAGCAACCACCACAUCACGUUUCUCUUGUGCGUGUGCGCGUUUGGUGUUCGCCGCUCCGGACUCGCGCGCGCGCUCUCUCCGCUCGGUUGAGGUUCCAAAGACUACCCCACCAUUGAUUUAUCCAUUCGUGCUUUGUUGUUGUUGCGUGACGGCAUUUCCUGUUUUUUUUUUCGCGCCUCUGCGUCUGUGUGUGGUGUGGUGUUACGGAAGUUUCUUCUCUCGUUUUUUUAUUGUUUUGUGCUUUACUGACCAUCUUCCUUUCGAAUCUCUUUUUCUCUUGUGUCCGGGUGCUUACUUGUUAUUGUUUCUGUCCUUUCUGUCGUGGUGCGCCUCGCCCGCUCCGAGUUUGCGUUACGGUUUGUGGGUAGAUUGUGCGUUUUUUUUAUUGCUCUUCUGUUCGAUCACCUACAACUUGUAUCGGCCUGCUGUUCUUCUAUCUUCCGAUCUUUUCAGCUAUCUGUCCACCCACCUCCAUCGUCACGCACAAUAAUGACCCGCCUCAACUCCUCUUGCGUCUCAGUGCAGAGGAACAGGUCGAUUUGCCAGAGUGCUGCUUCGCCUGAAGCGGUGCUGCCGUCCGCUUCCAUUCUGCCACCACCUACGAGAGAGGGAGCUUCUGCUGGCGUUGCGUAUUCCCGCAGUGACGAAGGGCGCAGCAACGACAAUGUGACCCCACAGACACUGAAUGCGGUGAACUCGUUCGUGGCAAGUGGCAAGACGAAGAAGAUUGCCUCGAACAGCAGCAGGUCCAGUGACUCAAACCUCUACCAGCCGCGCGCCGCCGUGCAGAAGAAUCAGGCUCCAGCUACGAACACACGUUCCAGCUGUGGCGCGGCGGCACCGAGGAAAGGCCGCAGCAGACGCGCUUCCACUGCGGCACAUGCCACCGCCUCCAACGAGAGCAACCUGCACAACAGCAAUCUUUUUAUUUGCAACUUAGACACGAGGGUGAGCCAGGCAGAACUCGAGACAGCGUUUGCCGAGCACGGCACCAUCCUGAGCUCUGCCGUCAUGCGCGACAUUCACACAGGCGAGAGUCUCGGCACCGCCUUUGUGCGGAUGAGCUCGCACGAUGAGGCUCGAUGCACGAUGGAGGCGAUGAACGGCGUACACGUCGGCUCUCGUUCCAUCUCUGUUCAGUGGGCGAGGCGCAGUGAGGGAGGGCCAGUUGGCGAAGCCCGCAAGAAGAUCAUGAAGCUGUUUGUGCGCAACAUUCCCCUCGACUGCACGAAGAUGGAUCUAGAGGAGCUGUUUGGGGCGUACGGCAGUGUGCGCCAGGUGACGCUGCACAAGGACACGUCGCCGGUGCAGGAUGAGGCGAUGGUGCGGCUGAUUGCGUUUGUGAUCUACACCGAGGAGGGCGCGGCGGAGCGGGCGGCGCGGGAGGUGCACAACACGAAGCCGUUCGCGUCGUGCAACGGCAUCCCCAUCAUGGUGAAGCUGGCUGAGGACCUAGCGAAGCACUACCGCGAACACAAUCACCAACAACAGCAGCAACAGGGCGACUCGACCCCUACCGCAGCUGCCACCAAGCAGCGGCACCGGCGCAGCCACAGCCAGCGAAACAGCUUGACCCUUAUAGCGAGUAAGAGCCCCAGCCACAAACAGACCAUCAGCAGCGGUAACGCCGUCAUGGGCCUGAGCAGCCACACCAGCAGCACCACGCUGAGCAUCCACGCUGGUCAAUCGGGCGGCGCCGAUGCAUCGAUAGUAGAUAUGGGUGUUCCCUCUGACGUCUCGUUCUGCACAAAUUACCCCCAGCUCACACCGCCGCAGUGCAACGUGCCACCGGUGAAAACACCGCUGGGCUCGAUGACGCCAGCAACGCUUCUGCAGCAACACAGGAUGAGCUGUGUGAGAGGUGCAGCUGCGUCCUCUGCCGCCCCGCUCUCUCCUUCCAACGCUCUUCAGUUUCUGGCGACAGCACCGUCAAACGCUGGCGGAAGGAUGCCAGCGGUCAGUACCCCGACAUGUAAAGGCGCGGCGGCGGUGCCGUUCGUGGCGGGCUCGCAGCGGCCCUCGUUUAUUGAUAUCCCCAACAGCCAAGUGGCGCAGAGCUUCUUCUUCAACAGCUCGACACCGCAGCUGUCGCAGUACGCGCCGCCUCAGCAGCAGCAUCACCAUCUGCAGCUUCCCCAAUUGAGCGAGCUACCCAUCAACGCGCCAGUGACGCCCAGGCUCUACCACUUGCCGACAGCUCACGCGGUUCCGGAGCGUCAGGACUCGCGCGCUGCAGUAGUGCUUCCAAACCCUCGCUGCGAGGCGCUUCCGGUACAGGGCCGCUCUAUGGACGAUUCGCAGCCCAUAGUGGCGUACUCGGGCCCAGGGGAGGAGAGCGACCUGCGGAUUGUCGAUACCGCACCGGUAGCGCAUCCGGUUUCGCUGCGCCCACAGCCGAACGUUAAAACGGCGCCGCCAAAGCUGCCGCAGACGUACCGCCACAACCCCUACAUCAGCUGCAGCUUUAUUCGCGUGGGCUGAAAAAGGCCCGCUGCUCUCCUGCUCCCUGCCUCUCUCUUUUUGUGUGCCGUACAAAACAGGCUUGGUGCCCGCUGCUCCUGGUCGUGCGGAGAGUAUCCAUCUGUGGCUUUUUUUUUGUAUAGCGGUGCAAAAGCGUGUGGUGGCUCUCCUCGACCUCUCUCUUCUGCUUCGCUAUGUUGUGCGCGGGCGUACAUUCAUCACAUGGUGGUGUCUUCAGAGGGGGAGGGAAGGAAGGGCGAGGAGGGAAGACUUGCGUUCCAUUUUCCACACACAUGUGACAUGUUUUUCUGUCUCGCUGACGCCGCUGCCGCUGUAUGCUCUCUCUUACCGUGCACAUGCGCGUGUUGCUUUGUGUGAGUCUGCCGAGCAACAGCAGCAGCAGACGCUUACGCAGCUCUCGCUCGGGCUUUUUUUCUUCAGUCGUUUCCACUUUUUCUGCUGCCACUCGUUUCUCUCACCCUCCCUCUCCUCAGUGCCUUCAUCCCCCCAUCCCCACAUGCUUGUCUUCCUGUUUCGUUUGCCAGCUGUCUUUGUCUACUUCAAUAACAUACCCACCAGUGCUCUUCUCUUUUUAUGCUUUUCUGCAUACCUUCCUUCAUAUUGCGCGCGCGCAAACGAAAACGGCUUUGAUUCUGGUUUCGCUUGCUUACAUUCUUGUUGCUCAUCACACCAUCUUCGUUCCCCCUCCCCCUCCGGCGGGUACUUGAUGCGCUCGAGUCAAUUUCGAUUCUCCUUCCCAUAUGUGCGUGUCUAUGUCUCUUUUCUUCUCUGCGUGCAAUAAAAAAAAGAAAGAAUCGUUUUUUUUUUACUUCCAGUCGGUGAUUGUGCUGUUUCACUUGUAGUGGUUAAUAGCCGUUCAACAGCAUCAACUUUCUCUCUAUCUUUUUCUUUUUUUUUUGGUACGUCUUAGCUGUCAACAUAUGUAUAUAUUUGUGUGUCUUCUCUCAUGUGCGCGACAGCACACUUAUCCGCCACCCUGUUUCCUUGUCUACUGCAAGCUCCCUAAAAGGCAUAUGGACGCUUCAAAGAAAAAAGAGAUAAUCGAGGAGAGAAGUCGGUGUGCGUGCGCUGGUGGUAUCCAUCUGCCACAGGACAAGUGGUCACUGUCCGUCUGCACGGCUGUGUGCGUGUGCGCUCGGGUUUGGAUGUGGAUGUGCUUUAGUUCUACCUUUUUUUCCUGCCUCAGCCUCUCAUUUCUAUGUACGACUGCGUGCAUGUGUCGCACGCCCGUCUCCGAGUCCAGGGGCAGCGAUUUUGCAUGUGCGCGGCCUCCCUUGUUUUCUUCCUCUCAUGUAUUUCCUUGUCUUCUUAUGUCAAUGCUAUUUUCCAUUUCUCUUCAGCUGUCGCCGUUGGUCUGUCUGCCUCUCUCUAUCUGUGUUGUUUGUGUACGCAUACUCGUAACGUUUUCUGAAUACGUAUUCCUUCCUCUUUACUAUUCCCUACAACUUCUGCUGUUUUUCUUCGGUCCCCCUUUUUUGUUCUUGCGCGUCCCGAAGCGCUGUACUUUCUGCGCUCGGCGGUCUCUUCUUUCUCUCUUUCCGCCACCGCUGCCGAAGUUCGGCGCCUGCAUUGUCUUGCUUCACACGCAGGUGUGUCUGGAAUCAUUACAAGAGGACGAAACAGGAGGGAACAGAAGCACCCCCUCCCUUUUGUAUGGAUUUCGCUUGCUCUUCUUCGUCUCUCAGGAAUGCGCAUGCUUGUAUAAUGUUUUUUUUUUUGUUGUGUCGUCUUUGGCUGUGUUCGAGCUUCUCGACGGCGCAGAGCGAGGCGCUUGCCCCACAGCUGCGUGAGCACCACCAGAGAGACGUGAGGCAUCGAAAUAGAAGGAAGCACGCAAAACCAAAACAAAAAAACGACGAAAAAACAAAAGAGCGAGAGUCGUGUCUCAAACAUGGCUGUAAUACGACCAAAUAGUAAGCGGUAUGGUGGAAAAAGAAAAAGCGGAGCGAAUGAGCGUCUUUUUUUUUGUUGUGAUGGACAGUCUGCGCCGUAAUGCGAUGGAUUGGAGAGGACGCGGGAGCGAAUCCGUUACUCUCUCUUCCUUUUUUUUCGUUUGCAUCUCUUCUUGUCACCUUCUUGUUUAAUUGUCCGGUGUCCUUCGGGGUGUUUUUGGUUGGAUUUAUCGCUAUCAUUUAUGCUCGUUUCCUUCGUCUCUUCGUCGGGAGCCGCUUCGUCUCUUGGCCUCUCCCGCAUGUGCUUCUGCCUCUCCGCUUUAACGAAGCGGAGUUUCGACUCUCUUCUUUUUUUGUUUGCUGCUUGUUGUUGCUGUUGCUCCAAGCUUCACUUCUCUCGCGUACUUGUGUGUAUGGGCGUGCUGCUGGAGUGUUUGUCUUUUCCCUUAAAUAGCCGUUUCAAGCAUGCGUGACUGCUUCUGGGAGACACACUCUCUCUAUAUCCUUUUUUUGUCAUUUCUGUGUGUAUGUGUGUGACGCACCCCGUUCGUUUUUGCUUUCGUUUUCGUUACUUAUUUAUUAUUGCUUUUUGCCCCAUCUAAGCAAUCGAUGGUGUCCCGUCAUCUCUUACCACGCUAUUUUCAUUCUCCUCCUCGCCCCGUUUUUUUUUUUGGCCUGGAUGUGCUGCUUGCUGUGCGUAUGUGCGCCUGCGUGGUAUUACUGCUUUUAUGAUUGUUUUUUUUGUUGUUCUUUUUGUACCUGCAUGCAUGUAUGGGUGCCCCCACGUCUACCCCCUCCCCUCCCCUCGAAGAAAGACAGUCACAACAACGAACCCCUAGGCCCGCGCGCGCACACAUGCACAAGUACCGAGCCUCUUUUACUCAGCUGGCUUGCUUUUAACCCUUGAAAACGAUAUCUGUCACGGCAGAGAGAGGACAAAAAAAAAUAACUUGUACGUUCCUAUCGCUCUCCUCGUGUAUUGGUCUCAUUUUCGUGUCUUGCUUCUCUUUUAUAGUUGAGGUGACCAUUCGUUCGCUACAUCCUUUCUAUGUGUUUGUGUGCAAUGGGUGCAUGCGUUCGUGCGUGGGCGCGAAGACCUCGCCCUUCUCUUCUCUCCCCUUCUUUCCAAUGACCCACACGGUGGGCCACUUACGCACAUGCGCUCCGUGCGCACACUCCCUCACGCUUACAUUCCCCACGUAAGUUUUUUUUUUUCAUUUGUAGGCUGCUCCUUCUCAUUCUCUACGGUUUUGUAUUGUAUGGUUAGCUGGUCUCUCUUGAUAGUGGUACAAGAAUAUUUUAUUAUUAUCUUCUGAUGUUUGUUUGCUUUAAAGGAUGUGUGAGAGUUUUUUAUUUUUUUUUUCUGCUCACAUCUCAUUCACUCUCUUCAUCUCUUAAUUUCUUUUUCUGUGCCAUCCCUCUCCCUUCAUCUCUUUCUUACCUGUUGGCAUUUUUUGUCGUUUCUUGUUUUUCUUUUAUUAUUAUUAUUUUUUCCAUUUGACCUCCCCUGCCUUUAUCUUCAUUACCUCCCCCUCCCACACACACACGCAGCAUUUGAAUAAAGCGCUCUUGAAGCACCAGAGCCACAUACAACAAAAAAGGAAAGCACACAAAGCCAGUGAAAAGUGAACGAGCCUCAAUAGCCGUCUCACAACGAGUGAGACGCGAGGAUGAAGUGGAUAGUCGACGAAUGUUUUUUUCCGUUUUCAUUUUCUUUGUUUUUGGUGUUGCGUGUGAGAAGACCUUGUGGUUAGAGGAAGGACGAAGAACGAGAAGAGGCCCGACACGAUACCGUCGAGGAUUUGUGAAGGACCCCUGCAAUGGCGCGCGCAUACGGUGUGCAGCUUAUCGGAAGAACACAGCCCCCGUUGUGUGUAGAGCACCGCGCCUGCAGUUUCACGACGACUUCACCAGAAAAAGAAGUCUUCCACAAUACCGUUCACCACUGUAUACAUUUGUAUGGGGGUGCGUGUCUCUGUGUCCCUUCCGUCUCUGUGGCUUUCUGUUGAGUUCCUCUUUCGUAUGUGGUGAGACUCUCCCCCUCUUCGCCUUUUGUUUCGUGACAUCGCGCGCUCUGUCUGCCUCUCUCUCUGCCCUCCCUUUAAACCUUGUUAUGUCGGGUCUUCUGUGCUGAUGUUGAUCACUUCCUUCUUUUUUUCUGUACACUGGAACGAAAAAACAACAACAUCACCAACACACAACCCCCUCCCUCCCUCGAAAAAAAAAAGAAAUAAACAAGGAAAUGGCUGCCUGUCUGUUUACUUCCGCCCCCCUUUUUUCCUUUUCUUGUUCCCCCCUCACUUCUGCUUUUCUUUUUCCUUUUUUUUGUGAUCUGUCGAUUUCAGUUUCGCCUCCGCUUUCAUUUUUUUUUGUAUUUUUUUUUUCGGCCUUUUCUCGCUUUUCUCUCGUAUCUCUUCACUCGCUCUCGUUCUUGCUGCACCUUCGGUUUCUCUGUUUCUCUUUUUUUUUGUUUGCUCGGUUGUUUUCUUGUGUCACCACGACUUGUCUCCUCUCUCUCACACUUUCGCUUCACCUAUUAUGCCUCUCCCCUUCUCCGCUCUCUGCUUUACAGAGAGGUAUACGAUUAGCAACCUAUCGGCACUCCCCUCACGGGCACAUCUACACACGCGCACACUCUUGCAUUAUUGACGGCGUGCACCUCCCAUAUUGGCGUCUAGCAUACUCGUGCUUUGCUUAUUGUGUACAUAUAUCGAUAUAUAUAUCUAUACAUAUACGUACGUGUGUGUGUGUGUGCUCUGCCUCGAAUGGGAUGUGCAGUCCUGUGCGGGUCCUUUUCGCUCGAAUGCCGUCUCUUGCUUCGUGCGCGUGCACUUGUGUGCUCUAUGCAGACGUCUGCGCGUUCGCGCACACUUUCUUUGUCGAUUUCCCCCUUUUUUGUAGUUUUCUUUGUGCGCGUGUGCCUCUCCCCACUCUCUCGGCUUUCGUUUGCUUCUCUCUUCUUUUUUUCUCCUCGUUUGCCGUGCUGCAGAUGAUGACGUUGGCGCUUCUUCUUUGGCUUCCAUUCUUGAUGAUGAUGGACACCGUUGUUGCUGCCACUGCUGCGGCGGAAGGGGGAGGGUGUGAUCGAAAGAAGCUGCCAAACAAGAAGAAAAAGGCAGAACUGAGAAGCAACACAACCACACAAGCGAACGAGGCGGAGGGUCGAAACGCUAAGGCAAGCAGAAAAUGCCAUCGAAAAAAGAAGGAAGGCGGCGAGACGAAACGGCGGGAAAGGGCGUAUAGAAUCUGCCACAAGCAUCCCCCCUUUCCCCUCCCCCCUCCCCCAGGCCUGACGGAAACGACAAUGCAAAAGGGGAAACAAAAAGCAAAACGGAGCGAGCCACCGCCACCGCCACCGCCACCGCCACCACCACCGCCACCGCCACCGCCACCGCCACCGCCACCGCCACCGCCCAAGCUCAUUAGCAAACAGCUUUGUAGCUGAGGGAGGGGUGGGUGGAGAUUUGAAAAAAGAAAAAGCAUGCAGUCCAGAAAACGACACCGAAAGAUGUACAAGGAGUGCGAGAGUGUGCGCGUGCGUUGGGGCUUGCCUAUCUGCUUUUCCUCGUGUUUGGGCGCGAACACAAACGUACAUGCACACACACACACACACACACACACACACACAUGAGCAGAAGAGGGGUGCCGCGCAACGCCAAGAAACACACGGCAGGACACAAGCACGGUCAAGCGCAGACGCUUCUUCAGAAAGAUCUGCACGUUGCGCGGACGUGGCUGUGACCGAGUGCGCGCAGACACGGCGGUAUCUUUUUUUAUGUUUGCUUUUCGUUUCAUUCCUCCCUCUCUCUGUGUUUCACCUUUAGCCCGCCUUUUUUGUUUUCUCGCCUUCUCUCACUUCGGUGCGCUCAACUCCGUGUUGCGUCUUCCGCACAGUCUUCUCUAUUAUUAUUAUUUCGCCCGUUCCUUUUCAGGUCGUUUGAGCUCCUCUUCCCUCCCUAGGCCUUCUUCCCCUCGUGCCCCCUUCCACGAUUAGUGCGACUGGUACGACCACCGCACGUACGGCUAAUGAGUGCGUCUUGCGUUCCCGUUUCCCCAUUUUCUUUUCUUUGCGUCUCGCACGAUUUUGAUGCCGAUCUUGCUGCUUCCGUGCUUCGUCUUCCGUGUAGUUGCGCUGAUGGUAUCUCAUGCCAUAGCCGGCAGGUGCGUGCGACGGACAGAGAACGCAUGAGGCGGAUGACUCUCCCUUUAUCCGCUCUCGAUACAGUGGCAGAAGUUGCGUGUGCGAAUGAGCAGCGGCGGUGGCAGCAACGAGGAUGCGCACGAAAGACAGCUUUUGUCUCCCGCUGUGACCACUAGCAGUCUCUCGUUUUGUUGUUUUAGUUCUUUUGCACCCCCACGAAGAGCGGGGCACACAAUGGCAUGGCUGUGGCAACACCACAAACAGAAAGAAAGAGGUGCUUGCCAGGGCCUCAGCUGACGUGUGAGGAACAGAGGGCAUCUAGACGAGCUGGUUUAGGGCUGCGAUGUCCGGCACAAACACAAACGCGGCUAGCUGUGUGCUCUCUCCCAGUGAGACGAGGCGGAUGAGAGUCGAUCAGGAGAAAGCAUGGGAGCUGCAAAGAUCGACGCGAUGGAAAGGCGAAUAAAAUGCGCUCGGAUGCGUUGAUGCGAUCUCUCUCUUCUCCCGCUUCUGCCUCUUUUCUAGCACUUGCUUGCUUGCCAUGCGCUGUGGAGUUUCCACUGUGCGUGCGCGCAUGCGAGUAUUCUUAUACAAUCGCUCCAUCAGGAUUGUGCCCAACCUCACUCGUGAGGAAAGCCUCCUCUUUCUUCUCCCAUUUUCCUUCUUCACGCAGACGCAGAUGUGGGUCUUGCGUUUGAAAUUUCUUUUUUCAAUUUCUCGUUUUUUGUGGUGUACUCUUCCGUUUUCUUUGCGUGUAUUGUGGUGAAGGCUCGCUUCGGACAGAGAAUGCAGACGUCCGACAGUCGUCCUCUGCCCCUGCGGUGUCUUCUGCUUCAACACUUUCCCUCCCUUUUUUCCCUCUUCCACAGCCAGCCUGCGAACCUUUGUUGUCAUCUCAAAUUGUUUUUUUUUCUUUUUGGCUUCUCAUUUCUUCAACUGUUUAUUCUUUGCGUUCUCGCUCAGUUUACUCAGGCAGUCAGAGCGAACGAUAAGCACCGGCAUCGUGGGCAAGCGCUUACUUUCAUGCUUGGAUACACCUCCUAACGCUCUUUGCCCAAUCGCUGCUUUCUUGUUGGCAUUCGAAGUCCCGAUCGGGCCAUCUUCCCCUUAGCUUUUUAGUGCAUCAGAGCCCAUCUCACCCAUGCCACCCCCCGUUUUCCCAUCUCCAACAGGUAAGACAGGUAAUCCGGAAGGAUGGGUGCUUCAGUACUCUCGUAAGUACCAAUAAAAAGAACAAUAUGCAUAGAAUACCGAAAUACCACCUCGGGUCGUAAGGCUCGGUGUAAACAGCGUGAUCGCACGCGCGCGUACACACACACACACACACACUUCCGAUUGGAUCAUCUGACGGUGUGCACACUAUCGGUGGCAACGUGUAUGCUGCGCUCUCUAACGUUUUCCGCUCUCUCUCCAUCCCCUCUGUGCUCUCACGCGGGCAAAAUGAAAAAAAACAAAGGAAAGGAAAAGAAAGUUUUAUUAUUAUUAUUUUUUUCCUUUGCUCCCUUUUCAAGAAACGUUUUGUGUUGUGCCUUCGACGGUUGUCUCCGCGUGCUCAUCAGCAUGUCGCGAUGCGUAGGGACGUUUUUUUUUUGUAGUGAUGCUUGACUUCUCCGUGUAUUUUGUUGUGUGUGCGUGUGCCUCUCUCUGUGUUGGAGCCUUUGCUUUCCUUCCUAUUAAUGCCAUUUUGUUUGUUGUUUUGAUCUUUUUCGGGCGAUUGGGCUGCGCUUGUUUUUUUUUUCUGACUUUACUAUUUUUUUUUCUCGCCCUCGUCUUUUCUGGAGUUGCCUCUAUGUGUGCAUCUUUGCGUGGCUGGAGAACAUUUUUUUUUUGCUGCUGUUGUUGGUUUCGUUCUCCGUCUGUCUCCCUCUGUCUUGAUCUGUUGCUAUAUGUGCACGUUGGUGUGGUGGCGGAAACUCUCCACUCAUGCUUCAUUUUUUUUUCAAUUCAACGUGCCUUUCGGCCCAUCAUGAGCAAGUCUCAGCCGUGCCCGAAUGCAGGUUUGCGUCUAUGUGUGCUUGCGCGCGCGUCUGGGCCAGCAUCUACUUGUGCGUGGAGCUGACGCGGUUUCUGGAAGGCAGACGAGCGACCAAAGAGAGGUGCGCUCCUCUCGUUCUCUCUUUAUCGUUCACCCUCCUUGCCUGCACUUUUUUUUGUGCGUGUUGCUUAUCAGCUCUUGCCGAUCACGCUCGCGCAUCUCUCGCUCUGCGUUGUUUUCUCUUAGUGGAGGCUUUUCUUUCGCCUGUAUCUUUUCAUCUCCUGUGUAUCCCACCAUCUCGGACUUCUCUUCUUCAUCUUCCCGCCUCUUUGCGUUUGCUAAUACUUAAACCGACACAGACCGCGAGAUGAGGGGAGAACAAGAAAACCAAGAAAAGGAAGUAGAAACGAAACUAAAGCGCAUGAUCGCCGUGAGCAUAUUCCUUUGCACGCGCGCGUUAUGUAUGUGGGUGUGCUCGUCCAUAGGUGCUUCGUGUAUGUGUUUGCCGAUGCCAACUAAAUGCAUACAAAAAGCGCAUCAGCCUUUGUUUCACUGAACCCCUCUUCCGUUGUGUCUUUUUUCCUUUAUUUUUUUCUGAUUGCUUCUCAAACACGAGAGCUGGAUGCUCUUGUGUGUCCGGUUCAUAGGGCAGUAAGGAAAGUCAAGAGCAGGGGAAUCGAGAACGAAAAAGAGGGAAGGGGAACGUUUUGAAGCAGGUAACCCCUCCGAAAAAAAAACAUAAAAGUACAUGCUAACUAUCUUCCCUUUCGCCAGCUCUCUUUUUUCUUGUUAUUGCUGUCUUCCGUUCACUCGCCUGUUUUUUUUUUCCACGUUCUGACGGAAGUACUUAAUGCCUUUUUCUUUCACCUCCUCAUCAUGCUUUUCACAUCUCCCUGUACCUCUCCUUUUUCCAGAUAUCAUCCAUUACGCACUUACUUGCCCUUCUUUUUUUUUUCGAGGUGUUUGUUGAUUGCUCUUCCAUUCGACCUGCUAUCCCUUCAUGGGCUUCCCACUCCCUUCACGCUUGCUCUUGCUCUCUCUCUCUUCACGAGUCUGUGCCCAUGCGCAGAUGCGUGCUGUGCGUGUGUGUGCUUGAGGAGGAGGAGGGGGGGGAAGGGCGAUAGGAUUGCAUUUUAUUUGCUGUAUUCGCCGAUCUUUGCAGUUGUUUCGGGUCCCCUCCCACUCACCCUCCUCUUUCUCUUGCAGACAAUACAGAUCGCUCACCUGCAGCGUUUUUCUCCCCUCCUCUUUUCUGUCUUCCACGCGCGGUGCGCUGCUACGGAGUGUCUCACAAAGGCUUCUUCAACGCAAAACGUGCCAACAUUGUCGUUGUGCACUCUCGCGCUUUUCUCCCCCCCCUCCCCCUCCCUCCCUUGUAUUCCUUGUGUAUGUGUGCAUGUUUUUCUUUCACAUCCUGCCUCCAGUUGUUGGUGUUCCUGCAGAGAUGGGCAACCUCAUUCAAUAAAAAGUAAAGCGGUGACGGCAGGUCCCGCAAGAGCCCAUACGCAUACAUAUUUGCUUACAUUUGCAUAUGCUCUCCUUCGUGUGCACGGGUGCUAGCGUGCCCUCAUCUUUUUCUUUUUGCCGCCUUUCCUCUCACGCAUCUUCACCGGAUUCCUUGAUGCGCUGAUCCUCAUUCCUCUUAUCUGCCCACCUCAGUUUUACUUUUUUUUCUCUGACGUUUUGUUUUUGUUUGCUUUCCCCCCAUUUCUUCGCGGACCUCCUUCCCUUCAUUUCGCUUUUUCGCCUCUCACCGGGUGUUUGCGUUCUCAUGGAGGGGUGAUGGAGGGUGUGUUCAGUGGAUAAGAAAGAGGCGGCAGGGCAACAACAAAAGAAAGCACCGGAUACAGGGUUGGGCAAGUGUCUGUGUGGGGGUUCCGCAGUCCCGCGAUCUCUCUACUACGCCACAGUUCUCUUAUUUUGUCUCUCUUCUUUUUUUUGUUUUGAGCACUCCCUCGUUCCUCAUGAAAGCGCCUAUGUUCCUUCUCCUCGCACAUGUGUGUGCGUAUGCCGUUUCUUUUUUCGUACCCCUUUUCUCGUCUCCUUUUCUUUUUUUCCUAUCUCUUCUUGGCGGCUGUGUGAGGGAGGCUAUCACCGAGUGCGAGGCCGCAGCCUUUUUUCUCUCCAUACUCAUGCACGUCGGCGGCGGUGAGGAGAAGCCGGUGGACUGCACCGAAGUGACGCACUACUAAGCAUCUUCGAUCUACUUCCGUCUCUCUGUCUCUCUUCUUCUUUCACGUGCGCACGAAAAUGGGUUUCUCUCAGGCCGCAGCACUCAGUACACGUGCUGCGCUGGCGAAUGGGCCGCAAACAGAGGAAGCGACACGGUGAGAGAGGUGCAAAAAGUGCUCCUUCAAUGCGCCGCCCCAUUCUUCACCAUCACCAUCUUCUUGUGGAGUGGCUGCGCUGGUGGUGGCGGAUCCAUGCGUAUGCCAGCCCAUGUAUCUGUGCCCGAAUCGGGGAGGAAAAGCGAGCAGAGAGCAGAAAAAAAAGAAACGUGAGCAGGGCUAUUUGCUCAAGGGAUCAUACGCUGGUGGUAAGGUGCCAGUAGAGGGGCUGGGAUACCGCGGCGAAUGCAUGGAGCCAAGCAUAAAGCACCACACCCUUGCCCCAACUCCAUCCAAACGACCGGACAUAUCAAGACCUGUAAGUGUGUUCACUAUCGGAAUGUAGGCUCGACAGAAUGCGCACCGUCGAGAUUCCUUCACGUUAAUGCCGUCACAUCUUGUCUUUUUUAUUGCUGUGGCGUGCAUUUACUUUUUGGUUGCAUCAUUACUUGGCUCUUGCUAUGCUGCUGCACCUGCGCACCUACCACCAGCUCCUUUCAUUUUUUUUUCAACGUGCCAUCCCCCGAAGAACGUCAUCUUGAUGCCCUUUCUUUGUACUUUUUUUUUAAAUACCCUACAGCUCUGCGGUAGUUGUCGUUUCUACUGCUCUUCUUUUCCUCUUGUUCUGUCAGCUCACUGUAUCCGUUGGUCUGUCGCAUCCGCACAUCUUUUCGUCUUUGCUUGUGGGGAAACCUCCGUCCUGCUUGUGAGCCUUCAUCUUCUUCACCGGAUAGCCUUCUCCCUCUCUCUGCACAACCCCUUCUCUCUUCUGCCUGCACUUUCGUUCUCGUUUGCCCUUCUCCCCUCCCGCCACUCAUUGCUGCAACGGCGGGUGGCUGGCAGUGGCGGCAUGGGGUGCGGAUGGUGUGCUGUCUACUGCUGCGCUGGCGCAUGCUUCUCCGCGGGCCGCCUUCCUCUCCACACACCCACGCCUGCGAAAGGCCUGUGGGCUCAGCAGAGGGCGGGAUGCCCCCUGCUGCCUUGCCACACACGCAUAGCGGCGCCCCACCUGUGGGACGGCACGUGUGGUCAAGCGGGCCAGCCACGCCCUCUCCCCCACCCCCAGGCAGCAGCGUCGUCCUGAAACAGGCACCGAGGGCGCAGGAAUGCGAGCACUGUGCGCAGGUGCUGCCAAGCACAGCCGGCAUGCCGUAUCACACCCAGACAAGGCAUGCGCACGUGAGCAGAGCAGGAGCGAUGGGCGAACAAGGCGCGAGGAGACCCAAUAUACGAAUCAGCCGCCGCCCCCCUACUCGGCGCAUGUGUGCGGAGCGUGCGGUGACCUCUACGUCCGGCCGGGCCUGCGCUGAUGAGGCGCAGAUGCCGGAAGCAUGACGGGAGCACCCUCGAAUGGCACCAGCGAGUCCUCCAGACGCGCAUGAGGCGAGUCCCCACGCCACAUUACGGCAUGCCGCGGCUUGUGGCGACCGAGGGAGAGGCAUGGCAUGCAGGCAGGGCGUGCAAGGUCUCGGAGGGCCCUGGCCUGCGUGUGACCGACUUCCUUGCUGCGCUCGCCCGGCAUGCCCCCUUGAUUGCCACCCCCUUCUACCCGCACGGCAGACGCCACGGCCUCCGCCCACGAGCGGGACCCUGAAGGCGGCCCUGCUUGGAUCAGGGCAUGCGGUCCACCCAUGCGCGUGUGCCGCCGGGUGGCGCGGCAUGCGUGCGGGGGAGGGCAAGAAAAGCCGAUGGGACGCAUGGCCCGAUUUCGGCGGCAGAACUGCUCGUCCUGGUCGACGCGGAUGUGGCGGCAGUGCGACAGGGGUAGAUAAACUGUGUUGACUUUGGUACAUUUAUUGCUUUGUUCAUGGUAGAGCGGCACCUUAAAACGACAGAGAAAAAAGAAGUGCUCCUUUUUUCGGUUUGCUUUUCUGUCGUUACGGCUCACCCCGAUCGCGUGAGCGGUAGUGCAUCCUCUCUCUCUCUCUCCCCGCCCCUCUGAUUUAGCUGCGCGCGUAUUCCAAUUGCUCACCCAUUCCUCUCCCCUUUUGUUUUUGUGUGUGUGUGCGUGCGUGUUUGUUUUUUGUUUUGUUGUGCGCAUUGUGCUUCUCAGUGCGCCUGCUGCGUGCCCUGCAUAUGCGAUUUUGGGAGAUCCUUAGCUUGUAUGUUUAUGGUUUCGUUUCCGUUUUUAGUUACGCAUAUGGUUUUUUGUUUGGCACCGGAAAGCCGUUAUGAAAAGAAAAAAAAACAGAUAACCACACACAUACACACACAUACACAUAGACAAGCGGUUAUGGAGGAGUGAGGCCAUCAUUCCUGCGAGGGGGAGGUAGAGGAGUGCUUGUCUCUCGUUCUUUCGGCCGUUGCGUACUUUCAUCUUUUUCUAUGGUAUUGGUAACGCAUACACUGAACCUCUGUUGGGCGUCUUCUCUCCUCACCGUCUUCGUGGUCUGUGAAAGCGUCGCGAUGCUGUAGUGAAGGGACGCUCGGACCUAUAGAGGUGCCCACCAUGUGGUCGAAACCAAGUCUCGCACCGCCAACCACCAACUCUUUUCCCUUCCUUUCUGUACUCUCUACUAGCUCUUGUCUUCCCCCGCCCUCUUCCUCUUUCUAUUACUCGGAUUCGUAUACUGGCGCACACCUUUCUUUUUCUACUUUCUUCGCCUCACAAUAUUGUCUCUCCGACCCGCACGCAUCCACUCACAUCCCAUCAUCCCCUCCUUUCCCCCCUUUUUCUGCACGCGCGCCACUCUUCACCACCGCCACCUCCGUAG